UACGUAGGGUGCAAGCGUUAAUCGGAAUUACUGGGCGUAAAGCGUGCGCAGGCGGUUUUGUAAGUUUGUCGUGAAAUCCCCGGGCUCAACCUGGGAAUUGCGAUGAAGACUGCAAGGCUGGAGUCUGGCAGAGGGGGGUAGAAUUCCACGUGUAGCAGUGAAAUGCGUAGAGAUGUGGAGGAACACCGAUGGCGAAGGCAGCCCCCUGGGUCAAGACUGACGCUCAUGCACGAAAGCGUGGGGAGCAAACAGG
This 253-nucleotide ribosomal RNA is filed under the name uncultured bacterium. RNAcentral describes it as "partial 16S ribosomal RNA". It matches the Rfam family "Bacterial small subunit ribosomal RNA", at positions 524 to 776 of the family's 1533-position model. The record is from RNAcentral.